UCUGGUUUGCUUGUCUUAAUGUUAUUUGAAUGUCUGUAUGACAGUUGUAGGUAUCCAGUAGAAGUCAUGAAACAACUUAGUGAACUAGCCAAAGAAAUGGAUGAAGAAAUAAGCUAAUUAUGAAUAAAGAAUGCAGUGGGUCAGGAGAUUAUUGAUGUUUGUCAACAGAAUCAACACACAUGUUUGUACAAGCAAAAUUAUGACACUCUAUA
RNAcentral lists this long non-coding RNA (212 nucleotides) under Mytilus galloprovincialis (Mediterranean mussel). The record is from RNAcentral. Lineage: Eukaryota; Metazoa; Mollusca; Bivalvia; Mytilida; Mytilidae.